AGAGUGAACGCUGGCGGUAGGCCUAACACAUGCAAGUCGAACGGCAGCACAGUAGGAGCUUGCUCUUACGGGUGGCGAGUGGCGGACGGGUGAGGAAUACAUCGGAAUCUACCUUUUGGUGGGGGAUAACGUAGGGAAACUUACGCUAAUACCGCAUACGCCCUUCGGGGGAAAGCCGGGGACCAGCAAUGGCCUGGCGCUGAUAGAUGAGCCGAUGUCGGAUUAGCUAGUUGGUGAGGUAGUGGCUCACCAAGGCGACGAUCCGUAGCUGGUCUGGAGAGGAUGAUCAGCCACACGUUGGAACUG
RNAcentral lists this ribosomal RNA (306 nucleotides) under uncultured soil bacterium. RNAcentral's name for it is "bacterial SSU rRNA". It matches the Rfam family "Bacterial small subunit ribosomal RNA", at positions 26 to 321 of the family's 1533-position model. The record is from RNAcentral.